UACAGAGGGGGCAAGCGUUAUUCGGAAUUAUUGGGCGUUAAGGGCGCGUAGGCGGCUUGGCAAGUGGAUGGUGAAAUCCCUCGGCUUAACCGAGGAACUGCCGUCCAAACUGCUUCGCUUGAGACCGGGAGAGGUGAGUGGAAUUCCCAGUGUAGCGGUGAAAUGCGUAGAUAUUGGGAGGAACACCAGUGGCGAAGGCGGCUCACUGGACCGGUACUGACGCUGAUGCGCGAAAGCGUGGGGAGCAAACGGG
Molecule: ribosomal RNA, 253 nt
Filed under: uncultured bacterium
Lineage: Bacteria
Description: partial 16S ribosomal RNA
Rfam family: Bacterial small subunit ribosomal RNA
Source: RNAcentral